RNAcentral lists this transfer RNA (71 nucleotides) under Labrys sp. LIt4. RNAcentral describes it as "tRNA-Glu". The record is from RNAcentral. Lineage: Bacteria; Pseudomonadati; Pseudomonadota; Alphaproteobacteria; Hyphomicrobiales; Xanthobacteraceae.
AUAGUUCACAAGGUGUCAGUUAACGCCCUCUCACGGCGAAAACAGGGGUUCGAGUCCCCUUGGGAGCGCCA